UGUGCCGGCAGCCGCGGUAAUUCCAGCUCCAAUAGCGUAUAUUAAAGUUGUUGCGGUUAAAAAGCUCGUAGUUGGAUCUCGGCGGGCAGGGGGUGGUUCGCUCUUCAGCGCUACUGCCCCGCUUUGCCCGUGUGAUUGGCGGAGGUUUCGGGGUGCUCUUCGUUGAGUGACUCGGAGCGCCGUCAGGUUUACUUUGAAAAAAUUAGAGUGCUCAAAGCAGGCUUUUCACGCUUGAAUAUUCGUGCAUGGAAUAAUGGAAUAGGAACUCGUUUCUAUUUUGUUGGUUUUCGGAAAUCGAGUUAAUGAUUAACAGGGACAAUUGGGGGCAUUAGUAUUCAGACGACAGAGGUGAAAUUCUUGGACCGUCUGAAGACUGACUACUGCGAAAGCAUUUGCCAAGAGUGUUUUCAUUAAUCAAGAACGAAAGUUAGAGGUUCGAAGGCGAUCAGAUACCGCCCUAGUUCUAACCAUAAACGAUGCCAGCUAGCGAUCUGCCGAGUUUUUUUUGUAGGCUCCGCAGGAAGCUUUCGGGAAACCAAAGCUUUUGGGUUCCGGGGGAAGUAUGGUUGCAAAGCUGAAACUUAAAGGAAUUGACGGAAGGGCACCACCAGGAGUGGAGCCUGCGGCUUAAUUUGACUCAACACGGGAAAUCUCACCAGGCCCGGACACUGGAAGGAUUGACAGAUUGAGAGCUCUUUCUCGAUUCGGUGGGUGGUGGUGCAUGGCCGUUCUUAGUUGGUGGAGUGAUUUGUCUGGUUAAUUCCGAUAACGAACGAGACUCUGUCCUGCUAAAUAGUUGGGUCGUCCUUCGUGCGAUCCAAGUUCUUCUUAGAGGGACUGGCUGCGUCUAGCAGCACGAGAUUGAGCAAUAACAGGUCUG
This 880-nucleotide ribosomal RNA is filed under the name uncultured eukaryote. RNAcentral describes it as "SSU rRNA". It matches the Rfam family "Eukaryotic small subunit ribosomal RNA", at positions 563 to 1464 of the family's 1831-position model. The record is from RNAcentral.